Molecule: ribosomal RNA, 253 nt
Filed under: uncultured Pusillimonas sp.
Lineage: Bacteria; Pseudomonadati; Pseudomonadota; Betaproteobacteria; Burkholderiales; Alcaligenaceae
Description: partial 16S ribosomal RNA
Rfam family: Bacterial small subunit ribosomal RNA
Source: RNAcentral
UACGUAGGGUGCAAGCGUUAAUCGGAAUUACUGGGCGUAAAGCGUGCGCAGGCGGCUCGGAAAGAAAGAUGUGAAAUCCCAGGGCUUAACCUUGGAAUGGCAUUUUUAACUCCCGAGCUAGAGUAUGUCAGAGGGGGGUAGAAUUCCACGUGUAGCAGUGAAAUGCGUAGAGAUGUGGAGGAAUACCGAUGGCGAAGGCAGCCCCCUGGGAUAAUACUGACGCUCAGGCACGAAAGCGUGGGGAGCAAACAGG